This 1512-nucleotide long non-coding RNA is filed under the name Castor canadensis (American beaver). RNAcentral describes it as "lncRNA (ENSCCNG00000017955.1)". The record is from RNAcentral. Lineage: Eukaryota; Metazoa; Chordata; Mammalia; Rodentia; Castoridae.
GGAAAAGUGGAAGGAAGUGACGAGGCUGAACAAUAUCACUUGCUUCAAUUCGGCUGGGAGGGAUCAGCUACCUUUCAGUUCCUAUUAAGUGAAUUCAGUUUUAGGGCCCAUGAGCAUUUUCCCAAAAGAUUCCUUUAGAUCCGGCCCCUCCCCUCUUUUAGUUAGACUGACCUCAGGUGGAAUUACAAGUGUCCCCAGUCCGCUCAGCGCUGUUAGUAGGAUUUGGCAUCCAUCCCCUAUUCGCGCGGGACCCCCCCCUCACCAGCGUAUCCCUACCUGUUGGAUAGGUCUUACUUCCUGGAAACACCUGCUGUCCUUACAAGGGGAGCAGCCGUCGCCUUAGAAUCCUAGUCUGUCCUUUCCUGGUGAAGGGGGGCGCCUGUGCUUAAGUGCUGGCUUAGCCACCAGAAGUGUCCAGCAGGAUUCAAUAGCCCUGAAGUGGGUAGCCUUAUUCCAACCCCAGUCCUGUUUAGCGGGGCUUCCACACUCUGAGAACCACCGAGAAGCUCUUGGCCAGCCCUGGAGCAACCGGUCAAUUCUAGGGGCCUCCUCGCCCGGUUCGGCGUCCUGGGCACGCGGCAGCGGGACAGGACGCCUUGUGCCCACGGACCGACGCCGGCUGCCAGUCCGACUGCGGCUGACACUCCCGCCGUGGCCGCUGCUGCAAACCGGUCUGGCUUCCCUGCAGGGCGUGCGGGGAUGGAGCGAGGGGGUGGAGAGAAAGGGGAAGAGCCUGGGCGGCCGGCGGGCGGGGCCUGCAGCCUCCCGGAGCCGCGGCAGCCGCCGAGCAGCCUGCUCUCUCCGCGCCUCUCUCCGACUCCGGUGCGCGCUGCGCGGGGACCCGCGCCCGAGCCCGGGGGGCGCCGCGGCUCCUCGGCCUCUGUCCCCGGACUCGCCUCGCCUAGGCUGCGCCCGGACGCAGAGCUGCUGGCCUUUGGGGGCCGCCCGCUGCUCUAUCUGGCCAGAGGACCGACGGGGAAGGAAGGGGAAAGCGGGGACACACACACUCGCCGGGCGCGCGCGCAUUGCACACUCGCAGCCGCGCGCCCCCGCCGAGGCGCGGCCGGGGCGAGUUUGGCCCCGCGGCUUCGGGCCCGGCACCUGCCCGCCCCCGGCACGGUCCCCGGGCCCCGCCCCGCCGACCCUCCCGCCCCUCGCCUGCGCUGCUGUCCCUUCGCCCGGGAAAGCGACAACAUCCCGACAACUUACAGGCUGUGGCGCAACUGGUCUGGACCGCCGAGGCUCCUGAAGGCUGCCCGGGUGAGGAACCUGGGAAAGAAAACAGUUUCAACAAUGAGUAGGCCAACCAUCAGUACCAACUACAGAUGACUUGCCAUUUCCUUUUCAAAGAUGUCGUCAGCUGCUGAAAAUGGAGACGCAGCACCUGGCAAACAAAAUGAAGAAAAAACCUAUAAAAAGGUGAGUGUAUUAUUUUCUGUCUUCCCUCAAAAAGAGGACCACUACUGUUCUACUGUUUGGCACUAAUAUUGUUAUACUGAUAUUGUUACAAUA